This 482-nucleotide ribosomal RNA is filed under the name uncultured bacterium. RNAcentral's name for it is "bacterial SSU rRNA". It matches the Rfam family "Bacterial small subunit ribosomal RNA", at positions 60 to 558 of the family's 1533-position model. The record is from RNAcentral.
AGUCGAGCGGAAGGCCACUUCGGUGGUACUCGAGCGGCGAACCGUUGAGUAACACGUGAGUAAUCUGCCCUCUACUUGGGGAUAACCUCCGGAAACGGUGGCUAAUACCCGAUACGACCAACUGCUGCAUGGUGGUUGGUGGAAAGUUUUUUCGGUAGGGGAUGUGCUCGCGGCCUAUCAGCUUGUUGGUGGGGUAAUGGCCUACCAAGGCUUCGACGGGUAGCCGGCCUGAGAGGGUGACCGGCCACACUGGGACUGAGACACGGCCCAGACUCCUACGGGAGGCAGCAGUGGGGAAUAUUGGACAAUGGGCGGAAGCCUGAUCCAGCAACGCCGCGUGAGGGAUGACGGCCUUCGGGUUAUAAACCUCUUUCAGUANGGACGAAGCGCAAGUGACGGUACCUACAUAAGAAGCACCGGCCAACUACGUGCCAGCUUCCGCGGUAAUACGUAGGGUGCGAGCGUUGUCCGGAAUUAUUGGG